Molecule: ribosomal RNA, 646 nt
Filed under: Solicoccozyma phenolica
Lineage: Eukaryota; Fungi; Basidiomycota; Tremellomycetes; Filobasidiales; Piskurozymaceae
Description: eukaryotic LSU rRNA
Rfam family: 5.8S ribosomal RNA (bases 199-352)
Source: RNAcentral
UCCGUAGGUGAACCUGCGGAAGGAUCAUUAGUGAAUUAAACAUGCUUGGUGUCUUCGCUUCGGCAAGGCCCUUGCUUAAAUCACAUCCUAACACCUGUGAACUGUAAGACGUAUGAUGAGGUCUUUGGCCAAGUCAUCGUCUGCCCUUUUUUAACAAACAAUUAAUGUAACAAACGUAGUCUUAUUAUAACCUAAUAAAACUUUCAACAACGGAUCUCUUGGCUCUCGCAUCGAUGAAGAACGCAGCGAAAUGCGAUAAGUAAUGUGAAUUGCAGAAUUCAGUGAAUCAUCGAAUCUUUGAACGCACCUUGCGCUCUUUGGUAUUCCGAAGAGCAUGCCUGUUUGAGUGUCAUGAAAAUAUCAACCUUGACUUGGGUUUUGUGCUCUAGUCUUGGCUUGGAAUUGGGUGCUUGCCGCUUUUACGAGCGGCUCACCUUAAAUGUAUUAGCUGGAUCUGUCUUUGAGACUUGGUUUGACUUGGCGUAAUAAGUAUUUCGCUAAGGACAUUCUUCGGAGUGGCCUCGUUUCUAGGACGCUUGUCCGCUUCCCAAUACAAGUUCCACCUCGUGGACAUGACUUUUUUAUUAUCUGGCCUCAAAUCAGGUAGGACUACCCGCUGAACUUAAGCAUAUCAAUAAGCGGAGGA